GGUUGUGGCUCAGCGGUAGAGCGCUUGCCUAGCAUGUGUGAGGCACUGGGUUCAAUCCUCAGCACCA
This 67-nucleotide transfer RNA is filed under the name Marmota monax (woodchuck). Its description in RNAcentral is "tRNA.Ala". Lineage: Eukaryota; Metazoa; Chordata; Mammalia; Rodentia; Sciuridae. The record is from RNAcentral.